Molecule: long non-coding RNA, 1503 nt
Organism: Zea mays
Lineage: Eukaryota; Viridiplantae; Streptophyta; Magnoliopsida; Poales; Poaceae
Exons: 2
Source: RefSeq, a predicted model, not a curated record
GGUGAGCCCAUUGCGAUGUCAAGCCCAUCUUUGGUAGCCCGAUUUAGCCCAUGACUCGCGCACGCGUCGUCGUUAAGCCACCCCCUUAACCCUACCGCUGUGCCCGGAACGCCGCCGCCGCCUCCAAUCAGCAAGGCAGCAACCAUGGGAGAUUUGUUGCUUCUUGCCAGACACAGCCGUGUCCCCGUGUACCUCGUCUCUCCUCCCAGUCUUUGGGCGUGCCUGCUUCAUUCGUUCAUUUCCUUGUAGCCCCAAAUCUACGUGUGUGUUUUUCCUGCUGCCAAGUGAUGCUGGGAAUAUUGCGCAAGGGCUUUGAGCAAUUCGUGGCUUGUGUUUGCCGAAUGCGAUGAGAUCACAACAUAUUCUUCACAGAUGCUUCGGAUAAGUGAGAUGCGUCCGUCUUCGCAGCGUUGGUAGCGUUUGGGCACAAGCUAAAUCCAAGAAGCUCAUUAAGCUUUGGACUAUCCUAGUUUUUCGAGAAAUUCAUGAACUUCUGGGCACAAUAUGGCUGUCCAAAAAUAUGUUUCAUAAUUAUGGUUCCUGGUAAAUGGUAUUCAUAUUUAUGGUUCCAAAUUCUUUAAUAUAAAAAUAUGUUUCAUAAUUAAUCUAACAAUAUUUAUUUUGAUAUAAUAAAAAAUGUUGAUACUUUUUCUAUCUAUAGUUAAUAAAAUUUAUAGCUUACUAAAACAUGGGCUUGUGUUAGUUUUAUUUUUUUGAAAUAGCAUGACAUAAUUCUAUUUUUUUUUUGAAACAGACGAAGUACAUAUUUAAUUAAUUUUGAAAUGUGGGUGAUUGGCUUUAUAAGGGUACGUUUGGGAUCUAACUAAAAGUGACAAAUGAUAUCAUUUUAUUAUUCAAGUCACCUUUAACUUUGUCUGUUUGGAUAUUUAGCCUCUAUAAAAUGACUCACUUUUAUUUUAUCUCAUGUCAUCCAAACAUGCCCUAGUUAGACCAUCUCAGAGUAGAGGCAUUCACAAACCUAUUUUUAAAAUACCUCCCAUGUGUUGAAAUAGUAGGCUCCAACAGAUAAGCUAUUUUUGGUAGGCCCAACGCGUACAAUACAUCUCCGAAAACAUACGUCCCUAACUACGUAACUCCCAACCAACUGUUUUUCUACUUCCGUGCGCUCGAGGAAGGGGGUGGACGGCGUCCUAUGUGUGGAAGUCAAGACGCAGCCGCCGAGCGAGUGCAUCCGCUUGAAGCUCUUGGCGGCGUUCAGCUUCUUCAUGUUCAGGACCGAUGAAAUGGAAGAUGGUGUCGUGGCUGAUGUUUCUGUUGGUGGGCCGCGUCCGCCUCGUAUGCAUCAUCCGAACGCUCGUGUGGAUGGGCCGGAUUGAAGAAAGUGAUCCAUUGGCCGCCUACGUGCACGAGAAUAGCUAGGUCUGGUUUGCUAGCUUGUAAGCAAGCAAUACUUAUGCACUGUAUGAUGGAAGGGGCAGGGAUUAUCGAAAACAUGAAUAACUAUUUUCUCACUGAAUAAGAUACUCCAUCUUUCCUGUGACC